RNAcentral lists this small nuclear RNA (195 nucleotides) under Cajanus cajan (pigeon pea). RNAcentral describes it as "U2 spliceosomal RNA". It matches the Rfam family "U2 spliceosomal RNA". From Rfam's summary of the family: U2 is a small nuclear RNA (snRNA) component of the spliceosome (involved in pre-mRNA splicing). Complementary binding between U2 snRNA (in an area lying towards the 5' end but 3' to hairpin I) and the branchpoint sequence (BPS) of the intron results the bulging out of an unpaired adenosine, on the BPS, which initiates a nucleophilic attack at the intronic 5' splice site, thus starting the first of two transesterification reactions that mediate splicing. The record is from Rfam by way of RNAcentral. Lineage: Eukaryota; Viridiplantae; Streptophyta; Magnoliopsida; Fabales; Fabaceae.
AUACCUUUCUCGGCCUUUUGGCUAAGAUCAAGUGUAGUAUCUGUUCUUAUCAGUUUAAUAUCUGAUACGUGAGUCAUUGACUCACAUGAUAUUAAAUUUAUUUUUUUAGGGUGAGGAUCCUUUCCAGUAGCUUGCUACCGGUUCCUCAUGUGUCGUCCUUGUCUUACACUUCAGCAGGGGCUUGGCACAUCCCAC